Molecule: unclassified non-coding RNA, 378 nt
Filed under: plant metagenome
Description: partial contains 5.8S ribosomal RNA, internal transcribed spacer 2, and large subunit ribosomal RNA
Rfam family: 5.8S ribosomal RNA (bases 1-105)
Source: RNAcentral
UCCCUUCUCUCCGUAAUGUGAAUUGCAGAAUUCAGUUCCUCAUCUCAUCUUUGAACGCACCUUGCGCUCCUUGGUAUUCCUUGGAGCAUGCCUGUUUGAGUAUCAUGAAAUCUUCAAAGUAAAUCUUUUGUUAACUCAAUUGGUUUCUACUUUGGUAUUGGAGGUCUUUGCAGCUUCACACCUGCUCCUCUUUGUUCAUUAGCUGGAUCUCAGUGUUAUGCUUGGUUCCACUCGGCGUGAUAAGUUAUCUAUCGCUGAGGACACUGUAAAAGGUGGCCAAGGUAAAUGCAGAUGAACCGCUUCUAAUAGUCCAUUGACUUGGACAAUACUUUUAUGAUCUGAUCUCAAAUCAGGUAGGACUACCCGCUGAACUUAAGA